AGUGAAGCUCCUUGGUCCAAAGUCAUGUGAACGAAAGAGAAAAGCCACCCCUCCCUCACCACGUACACACCUAACCCGCGGUGGUGGACAGGCGUGGGACAGCCACUGAAAGUCCUGUUCAAAACAAGGGCAAAGGGACAACGUACGAGAGUGACUGGUCCAUAGCAGUUGUGAAAUUCGGCCGGCGAAUGUUGGGAGCUCCUUGCUCAGGACUCAGCCUCACUCCUCCCAGGAAUGACUCACCGUUUACCCUUGGCUCUGCCCCCUGGGGUCUCAGCUUCACCCUCUGAGUCCUCCUUCCUCGUCCAUGAAAGCUGGUCUGUGUGCAGCUGUGUAGGUUUCUUGGCCUUCUUCCUGCCAGGAGAAGUUGGAGGACACAAAGCAAUUACAAGAAGAAACCAAGAAGUACUUUCAACAGUCCCUGGAAGUCUCCUUAGCUAGACCACACAGCUCAUUUGGCCAUGAGGCACGUGGGAUCCUAGCUUCCUGACCAGGGAUGGGACCCACACCCCCUGCAUUGGAAGACGAAGUCUCAACCACUUGACCGCCAGGGAAGUCCCCUCCACCUCCCCCAUUACUGCAGCCCUCGCUCUCAGCCUCUUCCAAGGGCAUCAGGACUUCAUGAAACACUCUUCGAGGCUCUUCACGCUUCCAAGGUCACUCUCCCCAGAGCCUUUCCAGGUUCUUCCCACUCUGCCUGUUCCCAAAGCCUCCCCCAUCUUUUGGGUUUUCGUUAUGGUGACGCUCUACAUGCUGACAGCACCAGUACAGUACACACCUGCUUAUGAUUCUGAAGCUUUACACAUCCUCGUCUCUCUGAAAUGUUUUCCACUAGUCUCUCUACCUGAUAAGCACCCAAAUCCCACUGUGUCUCCCGAUCCAGGUCAAAGCCCUUGUGUCCUUGUCAUACCCUCUCUAUAUUUCUCAUAGCAGUUGUCACAUUAC
Molecule: non-coding RNA, 945 nt
Organism: Kogia breviceps (pygmy sperm whale)
Lineage: Eukaryota; Metazoa; Chordata; Mammalia; Artiodactyla; Physeteridae
Source: RefSeq, a predicted model, not a curated record